Pteropus alecto (black flying fox) is the source of this 3195-nucleotide long non-coding RNA. RefSeq lists it as uncharacterized. NCBI's taxonomy places the organism in Eukaryota, Metazoa, Chordata, Mammalia, Chiroptera, Pteropodidae. The transcript is spliced from 4 exons. The record is from RefSeq and is a predicted model, not a curated record.
CUGUCUCUCCUAAAAUGUAAGCUCUAUGAGGACAAGGAGUUGGCCUGAUUCAAUACUGUAAAACCUUCACUACAGUAGUGCCUGGCACAUGGCAGACCUUUAACAAACAACAGAAUGAGUGAAUGAAUGGAUAAAUGGAGUCCAAAGUUUUGGGCUUCUACCAUAGUUAUUUUCAGUAAACCAUAUAUAUCCAACACAUAAGAGGGAUACAAAUACAGUUACAGAAAAGCCAAAUUAGUUAUGUUUCAUUUUUCUUUCCCUUCUAAUGAAAAAACUGGUUGCUAAAAUGAUCAAAAAGCAGGUAGCCUGGCAAAGCAGAGUUUGAACAAUUCAGUAAACAGGUAAACUGGCCUGGAUUAAGGUCAGAACAUAUUCUAGCCUUUCAGAGUGUCUUAACUUUGUUGUUCCCUGUAAGGAUGAAAUUUCCACAAAGACGCAAACUCCUACAGUAGAGCGGAGGAGAGGUGGUAUAUAGCAGGCUGCACAUGCAAGCUGAGAGUCUACCUCAGUGGUUUUCAACUGGUGGCAAAUUCUACAAUGCAGAUAUGUGACAAUGCCUGAAGACAUUCUGAUUGUCAAGAUUUGGGGGCUGCGGGAUAAAGAGGGGGUAGGGAUGCCACCUGUAUUUAGUGGGUAGAGGCCAAAGAUGCUGCUAAACAUGCACAGGACAGCCCCAUACAAGAAUGAAUUAUCCAGUCCAAAUAUCAAUAUUGCCAUUGUUGAGAUAUCUUAGUGCAUUCCCUUUUACUAAAGAAAGCAUACUAAAUGCAAGUGAUAUUAUUAGAUAUAUAACCUAAAACACACUUGAAUUUAGACAAUUAAACCAGCACAAUUUAAAGUCUUUGGUUACUAACAAUCACUGGUGAAAAUAAGACUGUAACACAUCAGUAUGUCAAGUUCCUGCUAUUAAGAAUCCCUGGUAGAUCCUGGAAAUAACAUUUCACCUGACAACGAGACCAUCUCUAAAAAUCAAAUCAGCUAGAAGUCACUCAAAAAAAUCAGAAAGCUAUGUUGCCCCCAAGUUACUUAAAGACGGCACUCUGCUACUGCAAUACCCACAAUAUCUCUGGUAUUUUUCCUGUGUGUCCUUUUUAAAUUUUACCUUUUCCACAAAAGCUUUCCUGUAACUCCACUAGUCUUUGUUACAGUGCCUUCCACCUAGGGGGCACUCAAUUAAAUGUUUGAUGCCUGAAACAUUUACUAAAGGAAACUCUCCAGUCCAUUCAGCUCAUUCCAUUUAAUUAUUUUUGCACCUAAGUACUACCCAAAUAAGCAUUCUGUUGAUUCUUAUCUGUAUGCCUUGUUCGCCAUCUUCCCUGCAGCUAGACUGUCAUAUUUCCUUCUGUAUAUACACAGGCUUCAGGAUAGAGCAAGGCACCCAAAAGUAAUUCCCAAAAGAAAUUUCUGAUUCACACAUUUUUAGGAUUCAGCCAGGAAAUAUGUGUGAGGAGAAUGAAGUAUGUUUACGGAGUUUCGAGAGAAUGUCCUAAAAUGAUUACUUUCUUUUCAACAUUUCUUUGACACUCAACUUCUACUGCGUUCGCACGGAAAGUUUUGGGGCAGCAAGAUCGCGGACCAGUAAGAGUUACAUAAUUCCUUGGAAUCUCCCACUUAAGCAUCUUUUUCUUAAAGGCGGGGACCACGUUACAUGCGGUUACCAAGACAACCGAGAACAGCAAAAAUCUGAAGCGGUUCUAUCCACGGAAGAAAUUCUAAGGUCCAAAGUUAAAGUGCGGGCCAGCAGCGCGAAUUAAUAGACACCGGCCACUACUGUGGCUAAUUUAAAAAUCUCUGUUCGGUGCCGCGCUCCCCCCACCCCUUUCUCUUUUUUCAGGAAUCCUUGUUUCGGAAUAGAGACCGAAGAGAGCGCUCGGCAGACAAACGGCCGUAAGCCAGGCAGUCGCCUCCCGCCCACUUCACUCCGCCCAAAGAAGCCACUGCCCUCCACAACCCCAUCGCGCCCACCCAAGCCGCGGACCUGAGGGAGCUCUGUCCACAACCCCAAGAUGCUUAAGAGAAGAAAACGUGUGCUUCCUCGGCAUCUGAGGUCAGAGAUCUACUUACUACCCCUCUGCUUUAGGCCCUGCUGAGAGGGCAAACUCAAUCCGGGGAGCCACUCAGGAAAGACCCCAGCUUCGGCGAGGCCUAGUCCCCGCAGUGGGAGGCGGAAGGGCCUAGCCGUCGUCUCAGCCCACGUCGCUCUGUGCCCUGAGCCCGGUCACCGCCCCGAAGAGUGUGGGCAGAGAAAUGAAAAAAGGGUACUUCCAGACCCUUCCGUAUCGAGGACCCGAAUCAACAACCCACCUGCUCUAUAAACUUCAGCAAGUCUAUCUACUUCACAAGGCUGUGAGGAUGACAUGAGAUAAUGAAUGUCAAGUGCUUAAGUGCUCGGCUCACAGCAUUUGAGUUUGCAGCCCCUGGUAUAAAAAGAUAAUCUCAGAAUGUGGGCAUCCAUCCAGCAAGGGAACUAGCAGGCCUAGAUGUGACUGAUGAGAAGGUCGACUGAAAGUGAAGGAUGUAAGCCUAUCCUUGCUGAUAGGCAGAAACACAUUCCUACCAGGGGUCUGAGAGACUUGGCAGAGGCUGUGUAAUGGCUGAGAGUGGGUGAAAACUGAGGAUGGAAGAUUUCCCUUGUGGAGUUCAAGGUCAAGUUCAACCUACAGUUAAGAACUCUUCUCCAAACCAUAAUAAGAUAUCACUCACACCCACUAGGAUAGCUAUCUUUAAAAAGAGAGACAAUAACAAGUAUUAGUGAAGAUGUGGAAAAAUUGGAACCCUUGUACAUUGCUGGUAAUAAAAUGUGGUAUAUCCAUACAACAGAAUAUUAUUUGGCAAUAAGAAGAAGUAAACUACCAAUAUAUGAAUCAACAUAUAUGAACCUCGAAAACAUUAAAAGAAAGAAGCCAAAAAAGAUCAGAUAGUAUAUUAUUCGCUUUAUAUUAAGUGUCCAGAAUAGGCAUAUCCAUACUGAAUGUGGAUAGUGGUUGCCUGGGGCUGGGCCAGGGAGAGAGGAGCAGAGGGGAGGACUGAGAAAGAGAAGCGACUGCUAAUAGCUAUGGGUUUCUUUUUGGAGUGUUGAAAACAUUCUAAAUUAUUUGGUGGUAAUGGUUGUGCAACUCUAUGAAUAUUAUAGAAAGCACUGAAUUGUAUACUUUGAAGGGAUGAAUUUUAUGAUAUGUGAAUUAUAUCUCAAUA